GGAAGUGUAGCUCAGUGGCACAGCACUUGCCUAGCAUGAAUGAGAGUCUGGGUUCCAAUCCCAGCACAGUCA
Molecule: transfer RNA, 72 nt
Filed under: Heterocephalus glaber (naked mole-rat)
Lineage: Eukaryota; Metazoa; Chordata; Mammalia; Rodentia; Bathyergidae
Rfam family: tRNA
About the family: Transfer RNA (tRNA) molecules are approximately 80 nucleotides in length. Their secondary structure includes four short double-helical elements and three loops (D, anti-codon, and T loops). Further hydrogen bonds mediate the characteristic L-shaped molecular structure. tRNAs have two regions of fundamental functional importance: the anti-codon, which is responsible for specific mRNA codon recognition, and the 3' end, to which the tRNAs corresponding amino acid is attached (by aminoacyl-tRNA synthetases). tRNAs cope with the degeneracy of the genetic code in two manners: having more than one tRNA (with a specific anti-codon) for a particular amino acid; and 'wobble' base-pairing, i.e. permitting non-standard base-pairing at the 3rd anti-codon position.
Source: Rfam by way of RNAcentral